GCGCAGCAGUCGAGAAUUUUUCUCGAUGGGGGCAACCCUGAAGGAGCGACGCCGCGUGGAGGAUGAAGGCUUUCGGGUCGUAAACUCCUGUCAUUUGAGAACAAGUGGCCGAACAUAACUACUUCGGCCUUGAUAGUAUCAGAAGAGGAAGGGACGGCUAACUCUGUGCCAGCAGCCGCGGUAAUACAGAGGUCCCAAGCGCUGUUCGGAUUCAUUGGGCUAAAGGGUGCGUAGGUGGCGCCGUCAGUGGGGUGUGAAAUUCCGGAGCUUAACUCCGAAACUGCAUUCCAUACUGCGGUGCUUGAGGACUGGAGAGGAGACUGGAAUUUAACGGUGUAGCAGUGAAAUGCGUAGAGAUCGUAAGGAAGGACCAGUGGACGAAGGCGGGUCUCUGGACAGUUCCUGACACUGAGGCACGAAGGCUAGGGGAGCGAACGGGAUUAGAUA
RNAcentral lists this ribosomal RNA (447 nucleotides) under uncultured organism. RNAcentral's name for it is "bacterial SSU rRNA". It matches the Rfam family "Bacterial small subunit ribosomal RNA", at positions 346 to 784 of the family's 1533-position model. The record is from RNAcentral.